RNAcentral lists this ribosomal RNA (408 nucleotides) under uncultured soil bacterium. RNAcentral describes it as "bacterial SSU rRNA". It matches the Rfam family "Bacterial small subunit ribosomal RNA", at positions 510 to 916 of the family's 1533-position model. The record is from RNAcentral.
AGCCGCCGCGGUAAUACGUAGGGGGCAAGCGUUGUCCGGAUUUAUUGGGCGUAAAGAGCGCGUAGGCGGCCAUACAGGUCAGCUGUGAAAACUCGAGGCUCAACCUCGAGACGUCGGUUGAAACCGUAUGGCUAGAGUCCGGAAGAGGAGAGUGGAAUUCCCGGUGUAGCGGUGAAAUGCGCAGAUAUCGGGAAGAACACCCGUGGCGAAGGCGGCUCUCUGGGACGGUACUGACGCUGAGACGCGAAAGCGUGGGGAGCGAACAGGAUUAGAUACCCUGGUAGUCCACGCCGUAAACGAUGGGUACUAGGUGUGGCGGGUGUCGACUCCCGCUGUGCCGAAGCUAACGCAUUAAGUACCCCGCCUGGGGAGUACGGCCGCAAGGCUAAAACUCAAAGGAAUUGACGG